CUGUCAUCGUUAGGUAACUGCUUUACUUCUAUGAAAUGAUUCUAUUUCAACAAUCAUAAGUUUAAAUUCACUUGGUAUUGUUGGCUUGAAUCUUCCCAUCGAUGUUUAGGACUGCAACUGGUCAGUCUCUUAUUGACAUAUGUGCAUACUGUGCGUAUUGCCUUGAUAUAGCCUUAAUUCACAAGCAGUAUACUCACAGUAUGCACAUAUGCCAAUAAGAGACUGACCAUUUG
Molecule: transfer RNA, 233 nt
Filed under: Schistosoma mansoni
Lineage: Eukaryota; Metazoa; Platyhelminthes; Trematoda; Strigeidida; Schistosomatidae
Source: RNAcentral